This 253-nucleotide ribosomal RNA is filed under the name uncultured bacterium. RNAcentral describes it as "partial 16S ribosomal RNA". It matches the Rfam family "Bacterial small subunit ribosomal RNA", at positions 524 to 776 of the family's 1533-position model. The record is from RNAcentral.
UACGGAGGGUGCAAGCGUUAUCCGGAUUUACUGGGUGUAAAGGGAGCGUAGGCGGCCUUAUAAGUCAGUGGUGAAAUCUUUGGGCUUAACCCAAAAAUUGCCAUUGAUACUGUAGGGCUUGAGUACAGUUGCUGUGGGCGGAAUAUGACAUGUAGUGGUGAAAUACAUAGAGAUGUCAUAGAACACCGAUUGCGAAGGCAGCUCACAAAACUGUAACUGACGCUGAGGCUCGAAAGUGCGGGGAUCAAACAGG